This 515-nucleotide ribosomal RNA is filed under the name uncultured bacterium. RNAcentral describes it as "partial 16S ribosomal RNA". It matches the Rfam family "Bacterial small subunit ribosomal RNA", at positions 28 to 523 of the family's 1533-position model. The record is from RNAcentral.
GAUGAACGCUGGCGGCGUGCCUAAUACAUGCAAGUCGAGCGAAUGGAUUGAGAGCUUGCUCUCAAGAAGUUAGCGGCGGACGGGUGAGUAACACGUGGGUAACCUGCCCAUAAGACUGGGAUAACUCCGGGAAACCGGGGCUAAUACCGGAUAACAUUUUGAACCGCAUGGUUCGAAAUUGAAAGGCGGCUUCGGCUGUCACUUAUGGAUGGACCCGCGUCGCAUUAGCUAGUUGGUGAGGUAACGGCUCACCAAGGCAACGAGGCGUAGCCGACCUGAGUGGGUGAUCGGCCACACUGGGACUGAGACACGGCCCAGACACCUACGGGAGGCAGCAGUAGGGAAUCUUCCGCAAUGGACGAAAGUCUGACGGAGCAACGCCGCGUGAGUGAUGAAGGCUUUCGGGUCGUAAAACUCUGUUGUUAGGGAAGAACAAGUGCUAGUUGAAUAAGCUGGCACCUUGACGGUACCUAACCAGAAAGCCACGGCUAACUACGUGCCAGCAGCCGCCGCGG